AGGAUUUUAAGUUAAUAAAACUAUUAACCUUCAAAGUUAAAAAUAAAAUUUUUUUUUUAAAUCUUA
Molecule: transfer RNA, 66 nt
Filed under: Tanystylum orbiculare
Lineage: Eukaryota; Metazoa; Arthropoda; Pycnogonida; Pantopoda; Tanystylidae
Description: tRNA-Trp
Source: RNAcentral